UCCUCUUUGCAAUUAACCUUAACGAGCAAUAGUUGGCCGAACAUGACAUAACACACAGUCGCACAUGCAGCAAUGAAAGAUGCCAUCUUAAGCCCAUUAUCGAAGAGCUCUCUGUCUCAUUGGCCCGUGGCCUUAGCUCCUACUUUCUUUUAUUAUUAGGAUCUGCCUAAGUUACGGCUGUUGUAAGUUACCACACCUUUUGUCUUUUCUGCUUUAGUUAUUGUAAAAUUUGGUUGAGUUCCUUGCAUUCUGUUUUAUUUUAUUAAAACCCUUAGAAUAUUAAAUUCGCCCCCUAUAAUAUUUAAAUUCCCAAU
RNAcentral lists this long non-coding RNA (314 nucleotides) under Citrus x clementina. RNAcentral's name for it is "Citrus clementina (C. clementina) long non-coding RNA (CCLE_LNC003509)". Lineage: Eukaryota; Viridiplantae; Streptophyta; Magnoliopsida; Sapindales; Rutaceae. The record is from RNAcentral.